GACGAACGCUGGCGGCGUGCCUAAUACAUGCAAGUAGAACGCUGAAGGAGGAGCUUGCUUCUCUGGAUGAGUUGUGAACGGGUGAGUAACGCGUAGGUAACCUGCCUGGUAGCGGGGGAUAACUAUUGGAAACGAUAGCUAAUACCGCAUAAGAGUAGAUGUCGCAUGACAUUUGCUUAAAAGGUGCAAUUGCAUCACUACCAGAUGGACCUGCGUUGUAUUAGCUAGUUGGUGAGGUAACGGCUCACCAAGGCAACGAUACAUAGCCGACCUGAGAGGGUGAUCGGCCACACUGGGACUGAGACACGGCCCAGACUCCUACGGGAGGCAGCAGUAGGGAAUCUUCGGCAAUGGACGGAAGUCUGACCGAGCAACGCCGCGUGAGUGAAGAAGGUUUUCGGAUCGUAAAGCUCUGUUGUAAGAGAAGAACGAGUGUGAGAGUGGAAAGUUCACACUGUGACGGUAUCUUACCAGAAAGGGACGGCUAACUACGUG
RNAcentral lists this ribosomal RNA (495 nucleotides) under uncultured bacterium. Its description in RNAcentral is "partial 16S ribosomal RNA". It matches the Rfam family "Bacterial small subunit ribosomal RNA", at positions 28 to 507 of the family's 1533-position model. The record is from RNAcentral.